AAUCCGGGGAGCUCAUGAGCUGGGCUGAGAGGAAGUCAGAACUUCGACCCGUAUACCUGAUUUGGAUAAUGCCAACGUAGGGAUGAACGAAUA
Molecule: non-coding RNA, 93 nt
Filed under: uncultured Enterocloster sp.
Lineage: Bacteria; Bacillati; Bacillota; Clostridia; Lachnospirales; Lachnospiraceae
Description: TPP riboswitch (THI element)
Rfam family: TPP riboswitch aptamer (THI element)
About the family: Vitamin B(1) in its active form thiamin pyrophosphate (TPP) is an essential coenzyme that is synthesised by coupling of pyrimidine and thiazole moieties in bacteria. The previously detected thiamin-regulatory element, thi box was extended, resulting in a new, highly conserved RNA secondary structure, the THI element, which is widely distributed in eubacteria and also occurs in some archaea.
Source: RNAcentral